GACGAACGCUGGCGGCGUGCCUAAUACAUGCAAGUAGAACGCACAGUUUAUACCUUAGCUUGCUACACCAUAGACUGUGAGUUGCGAACGGGUGAGUAACGCGUAGGUAACCUGCCUGGUAGCGGGGGAUAACUAUUGGAAACGAUAGCUAAUACCGCAUAAUAUUGAUUAUUGCAUGAUAAUUGAUUGAAAGAUGCUAUUGCAUCACUACCAGAUGGACCUGCGUUGUAUUAGCUAGUAGGUGAGGUAACGGCUCACCUAGGCGACGAUACAUAGCCGACCUGAGAGGGUGAUCGGCCACACUGGGACUGAGACACGGCCCAGACUCCUACGGGAGGCAGCAGUAGGGAAUCUUCGGCAAUGGACGAAAGUCUGACCGAGCAACGCCGCGUGAGUGAAGAAGGUUUUCGGAUCGUAAAGCUCUGUUGUCAGAGAAGAACGGGUGUGAGAGUGGAAAGUUCACACUGUGACGGUAUCUUACCAGAAAGGGACGGCUAACUACGUG
Molecule: ribosomal RNA, 505 nt
Filed under: uncultured bacterium
Lineage: Bacteria
Description: partial 16S ribosomal RNA
Rfam family: Bacterial small subunit ribosomal RNA
Source: RNAcentral